UUGGAGGGCAAGUCUGGUGCCAGCAGCCGCGGUAAUUCCAGCUCCAAUAGCGUAUAUUAAAGUUGUCGCAGUUAAAAAGCUCGUAGUUGAAUUUCGGGAUUGACGUGACGGUCGUGCCUUACGGGGUAUGAACUGUCGCAGUUGAUUUCUCACCUUCUGGAGAAGCUCGAUGUCCUUAAUUGGGUGUCUUGCGGAACCAGGACCUUUACCUUGAAAAAAUUAGAGUGUUUAAAGCAGGCAUUUUGCUCGAAUACAUUAGCAUGGAAUAAUAGAAUAGGACGGCAUGGUUCUAUUUUGUUGGUUUCUAGGAUCACCGUAAUGAUUAAUAGGGAUAGUUGGGGGCAUUAGUAUUCAAUUGUCAGAGGUGGAAUUCUUGGAUUUAUUGAAGACUAACUUCUGCGAAAGCAUUUGCCAAGGAUGUUUUCAUUAAUCAAGAACGAAAGUUAGGGGAUCGAAGACGAUCAGAUACCGUCGUAGUCUUAACCAUAAACUAUGCCGACUAGGGAUCGGAUGAUGUUAAUUUUUUAAUGACUCAUUCGGCGCCUUACGGGAAAC
Molecule: ribosomal RNA, 555 nt
Filed under: uncultured Entrophosporaceae
Lineage: Eukaryota; Fungi; Glomeromycota; Glomeromycetes; Entrophosporales; Entrophosporaceae
Description: SSU rRNA
Rfam family: Eukaryotic small subunit ribosomal RNA
Source: RNAcentral